Molecule: long non-coding RNA, 296 nt
Filed under: Elaeis guineensis (African oil palm)
Lineage: Eukaryota; Viridiplantae; Streptophyta; Magnoliopsida; Arecales; Arecaceae
Description: long non-coding RNA (EGUI_LNC021678)
Source: RNAcentral
AUCUUCAUCCAGGUCUCUUAUCUUUAGAUUUUCAAAUUUUUUUUUAAUAUUAAUCUUCUUUUAUUUCCAUCUAUAUUCUCUUUUUAUCAUCUUUAUUUCUAUCUAAUGAUAUAGAAAGUCAAUAAUUUUAUUCUUGUUCAUGCUAGAGCUCACAUGAUUAAUACUCCCUUCAUCUCUCUUUAUGAUGAAAUACUCGAUGAUAAUAAUAAUAAGCAUUUAAUCAAAUUCAAAAGAAAUAUGAAAUAUAGUGGAUAAUGGUAAAAAUAAAAGAGUUUCUUUUUAUGAAUAUGCAGGGA